RNAcentral lists this long non-coding RNA (617 nucleotides) under Sarcophilus harrisii (Tasmanian devil). RNAcentral describes it as "lncRNA (ENSSHAG00000022796.1)". Lineage: Eukaryota; Metazoa; Chordata; Mammalia; Dasyuromorphia; Dasyuridae. The record is from RNAcentral.
GGGAACUAGAGAACCAUCAUCUCAUCAAUUCCUCUGAGUUAACACCUUGUUUCAAGUCUAAUUCUCCAGAGUUUCCCAAUAUCUGUCAUUCUCUACACUCUUGUUAUCUUCCCAUUAGAUUGCAAUUUACCAAAGGCAUGGGGCACCCUUUCUUAUUUAUAUCCCUAACACUUGGCAUAAUGCUUCUCAUAUAGCAGAUAGAACCAGAAAAUGUGCUUCUGGAAGAGGAACAAAAGUUGUGAGUGCAGGGAGACACAAAGGAGCUAGUCCAAAACAAGAAACAAAGAGGGAAGUGGCGAAGCUGGCCCAGUAAGCAGACUCGAGGGAAACAAAGGGAGAGCCCAGGCUGAGCCUUUGAUAUCUUAGUGGAGUCUCCAGCUAAGUCUUCUCCCUGCCGAGCAUCCCCAUCACUUCAGUCACUCAGCACUGACUUUACCAAAUGGCCAAGAAGUCAAGGAAUUAUUUGUCACACAGAAGCAAGUGUACUGGGAUCACUUCAAGAAUGCCAAAGGAGUGACUGUAAUAUUGUCCUGAGAAGAAGAGAUGCAUCAAUCUCACAGACUUUCAAGGGGAUAACUGUGGUCCCACCACAGUUGGUAGGGUACGUGCUCUUAUGC